RNAcentral lists this ribosomal RNA (253 nucleotides) under uncultured bacterium. RNAcentral's name for it is "partial 16S ribosomal RNA". It matches the Rfam family "Bacterial small subunit ribosomal RNA", at positions 524 to 776 of the family's 1533-position model. The record is from RNAcentral.
UACGUAGGAGACGAGCGUUGUCCGGAGUUACUGGGCGUAAAGGGUGCGCAGGUGGCGGCGCGCGUGGGGGGUGAAAUCGCCCGGCUUAACUGGGCGGGGGCCUUCCAGACGGCGUGGCUUGAGCAGCGGAGGGGGACGUGGAAUUCCUGGUGUAGCGGUGAAAUGCGCAGAUAUCAGGAGGAACACCAAUGGCGAAGGCAGCACUCUGGGACGGUACUGACGCUGAGACGCGAAAGCGUGGGGAGCAAACAGG